RNAcentral lists this small nucleolar RNA (139 nucleotides) under Setaria italica (foxtail millet). RNAcentral's name for it is "Small nucleolar RNA Z247". It matches the Rfam family "Small nucleolar RNA Z247". From Rfam's summary of the family: Z247 is a member of the C/D class of snoRNA which contain the C (UGAUGA) and D (CUGA) box motifs. Most of the members of the box C/D family function in directing site-specific 2'-O-methylation of substrate RNAs. Lineage: Eukaryota; Viridiplantae; Streptophyta; Magnoliopsida; Poales; Poaceae. The record is from Rfam by way of RNAcentral.
AAAGUUGAGGAUGAUGAGAUGGUUUCCUUUAUCCUCACUGGAUUGGAUUCAAAUUACAAUCCUAUAGUCACCUUGGUCACGAGCCGGGUAGAUCCAAUCUCGCUCAGCGACCUAUAUGCUCAAGUCAUGGCGUAUGAGA